AGUUAAUUAAUAAUAAUUAUAUUAUUAUUAAUUAUUAAAUUAUUAGUUUUAAGUGAGUAAAAUAAAAAAAAAGUAAAUUCCGGUAGUGUUUCGAAAAUAUUUAAACCGCGUGUGAUUUUAGUGUAAAUUUUUCAUUGCUUCAAGGACAACUCCAAAAUACAGCAAACAAAAGGUUAAUGGAAUUUGGAUCUCUUUUAUUAAACCUCAAAUGGUCAAUCUACUCAUUGAAGAAUUAGAUCAAACAUUAUGAUUUUGCGACAAGUUGACGACCUUCCUUUCACGGUGGAAAUUUUUUUUUUUUUUUUUUUUUUGACAUAGAAAGUCAUCAUUUCACUUGUAUGUGAUAAGAAAUCAACGACACAAUGCCUCUAUUGUAUGAUGAAAAUUAUCGCACGACGCAUAUCACUAUAUGUGAUGGUAUAUAUAAGAACCCAGAAAGUAGGCAACCUUUCAUACAUUUCAUCAUAGAUGUUUGCUUGCUUCCAUCUUAG
Molecule: long non-coding RNA, 491 nt
Organism: Leptopilina boulardi
Lineage: Eukaryota; Metazoa; Arthropoda; Insecta; Hymenoptera; Figitidae
Exons: 3
Source: RefSeq, a predicted model, not a curated record